Molecule: long non-coding RNA, 437 nt
Organism: Gossypium arboreum
Lineage: Eukaryota; Viridiplantae; Streptophyta; Magnoliopsida; Malvales; Malvaceae
Exons: 2
Source: RefSeq, a predicted model, not a curated record
AAGUCGAUAUGUUUGAGUAACAUUCGCUUAAUCGACUAACGAGUUUUCAGCUAUUGAAUUGGUUGAUAUCUUGUGAAAGUGUAUAAUGAUGAAGUGUGAAAUUUUGCUCGUUAGCGAUCGGAUUCGGGAUCAUUAAAGUCGAAGUCAUCUACACUAUCAAAGCCUCCAUUUUGGUAUAAUUUUGGUUGAACUUUGAAAUGGCAUGUAUAGGACUACCCUAUUGUUGAAGGUCAUGUACCUUUCGGUUUUGUGUAAGCUUGGAUAGCCAUGCGAAAAUGGCUUAUAUACGUUUUUAGUAUGAUUCUAUAAUCGUUUGUAUGAUGAUCAUUAUGGGGUAUGGAAUUGUUUGAAAAGAUUAGCCAUUGGAAUGGUUAAUCGUGAUCACACUUUGUGCUAUGUAUGCAAAAAGGGCCAAUUGAAUCGUGGAAAUCAUGAAA